This 140-nucleotide ribosomal RNA is filed under the name Amanita sp. 'whetstoneae'. RNAcentral's name for it is "partial 28S ribosomal RNA". It matches the Rfam family "Eukaryotic large subunit ribosomal RNA", at positions 1 to 138 of the family's 3401-position model. Lineage: Eukaryota; Fungi; Basidiomycota; Agaricomycetes; Agaricales; Amanitaceae. The record is from RNAcentral.
UUGACCUCAAAUCAGGUAGGACUACCCGCUGAACUUAAGCAUAUCAAUAAGCGGAGGAAAAGAAACUAACAAGGAUUCCCCUAGUAACUGCGAGUGAAGUGGGAAAAGCUCAAAUUUAAAAUCUGACAGUUGUGACUGUC